UUUUCCAGCAAUUUCUGAUUGUGUCCAGAUUUGAUGAUCUUGUAGAAUGAGCAGCUGAAACACUCUUGCUCAUCUUUAUUGGAAAUGAGAUGGUUUGUUUGUAUGAACUAUGUAAUCAUUUUGAAGCUACCAUUACUGAAGCAACAGUUGCGAACUAUGAACCUGCGCUCCAAGGUCCCUCUCUGUUCAGCAACACUCCCCAGGACUUUACUGUUCUCCAGGAAUGGCACAACUCUCCUGAUGAAGUGGACAUGAGAUAAGCACAACCAAAACCAACAUGACUGACUCUAUAGGAUGAAGUGAAUGCUUCUGUUAUUAAAGGAGAUGUGUAACAUCAUAUCUCUGUAGUAAUUAUGGUCUCUAACUCUAUCAAGUAUUAAGUUAUGAACACAAGCACUGUAAUUUUGUUUAAACUGUACAUGUUGGUACCUUGCUGUGGCUACUUGAAAAAGAUGCCCUUGAAAAUUGCAAUAGAUGCAGCAACUCAUUUAUUAAAAGAGCCACAACGGCUGGUCCCAUGUUACAUGAUCUUCAAGUUAAUCCAAAUGUAUCUUUUGCUACUUGUGCAAUGCUGGUAAAGGAACAAGUGUUCCUAACUUAUACUAUUACGAUGAAAAUAUUUCCAUUAGGAACUAAAUACUGUAUUGCUCAAAACUGAUUUGAAUUAUUGUGAAGAUUUAUAGUGCAUGUGAAUAAUGCAUAGAAAAUAAAUCUCGUGUAUGCCA
This is a non-coding RNA of Chiloscyllium plagiosum (whitespotted bambooshark), 725 nucleotides long. The record is from RefSeq and is a predicted model, not a curated record. NCBI's taxonomy places the organism in Eukaryota, Metazoa, Chordata, Chondrichthyes, Orectolobiformes, Hemiscylliidae.